Pelobates cultripes (western spadefoot toad) is the source of this 228-nucleotide non-coding RNA. The record is from the annotation of a GenBank genome assembly. NCBI's taxonomy places the organism in Eukaryota, Metazoa, Chordata, Amphibia, Anura, Pelobatidae.
CAAUAUUCCAAGUACGUCUGGUAAUAUUUUGGCUGAUAGCAUCUGGUCGAUAAUUAUUUCCUCGCAGUAAAUAUCUUCACAUAACUGUGUCUCUCACCGGACCCUCGCUUCCUUCUAACUUUAUAGCUUGAGAUCCUUUACGUCUUACCCGUGGCUGCUAUUAUCCAUUAAAGGACAUUGCACGCACCAUAACAACUUCAUUAAAUUUCCUGGGCAUCACCUCAAAAC